RNAcentral lists this unclassified non-coding RNA (225 nucleotides) under Melitaea cinxia (Glanville fritillary). RNAcentral's name for it is "misc RNA ENSMCXG00005012782.1". The record is from RNAcentral. Lineage: Eukaryota; Metazoa; Arthropoda; Insecta; Lepidoptera; Nymphalidae.
ACCUAUUGACUGGAGGGUCACCGGAGGGACCAAAUACCGUACAAGACUAUGUCAGCGAUUUAAGGGAAAAAAUGCGCGACUUCAAAGUGAAAACUAGUGAUCAAGAGUGGUACCAGUGAAACCUACGACAUUGGCUACGACUUAGGACAUCGUUAGUGCUUAGUGUUUGAACCUAGUGCUUUGUGUUGGACCUAGUGCUAGUGAAUAAAGUCUUGAAAAGAGUCA